UGGGGAAUAUUGGACAAUGGGGGCAACCCUGAUCCAGCCAUGCCGCGUGUGUGAAGAAGGCCUUAGGGUUGUAAAGCACUUUCAGUGGGGAGGAAAAGCUGGCGGCUAAUAUCCGUCGGCCCUGACGCUACCCACAGAAGAAGCACCGGCAAACUCCGUGCCAGCAGCCGCGGUAAUACGGAGGGUGCGAGCGUUAAUCGGAAUUACUGGGCGUAAAGCGCGCGUAGGCGGCUUGGUAAGCUAGAUGUGA
RNAcentral lists this ribosomal RNA (250 nucleotides) under uncultured bacterium. RNAcentral's name for it is "partial 16S ribosomal RNA". It matches the Rfam family "Bacterial small subunit ribosomal RNA", at positions 355 to 597 of the family's 1533-position model. The record is from RNAcentral.